This 216-nucleotide ribosomal RNA is filed under the name Glomeromycotina sp. RNAcentral describes it as "partial small subunit ribosomal RNA". The stretch from base 47 to 216 matches the Rfam family "Eukaryotic small subunit ribosomal RNA", at positions 693 to 864 of the family's 1831-position model. Lineage: Eukaryota; Fungi; Glomeromycota. The record is from RNAcentral.
GGGUCAGUAGGUUGGUCGUGCCACCGGUACGUACUGGUCUCACUGGUUCCUCCUUCCUGAAGAACCGUAAUGCCAUUAAUUUGGUGUUGCGGGGAAACAGGACUGUUACCUUGAAAAAAUUAGAGUGUUUAAAGCAAGCUAACGCUUGAAUACAUUAGCAUGGAAUAAUGAAAUAGGACGAUCGAUCCUAUUUUGUUGGUUUCUAGGAUUGACGUA